Molecule: long non-coding RNA, 348 nt
Filed under: Gossypium raimondii (Peruvian cotton)
Lineage: Eukaryota; Viridiplantae; Streptophyta; Magnoliopsida; Malvales; Malvaceae
Description: long non-coding RNA (GRAI_LNC001250)
Source: RNAcentral
GUAGAGGACAAAUAGGUGGAGUGAAUCAAGGAAGGAUAAGGGGAGAGUUUUUAGGAGAAAAUCAAGGAAUUUGAGAAGGGGGAGUGUUGUGACGUUUAGGGAGUUUUCAGCUUGGGAAAUUCGGUUGGAGUUAGGUUGUGCUAAAUUUGGCUUAGGCAUUUUUGGGUAAUCGAUUUUUUGGUUGAUUCUUCUUCUACUUGUCUUGGUUUUUUUAGUUUUGUUUAGCAGGUAUUGGAUUUUGAGGUUGAAUUGUGGCAAGUUUCUUCACGGGUUUUGUUAACUUUUUCUAUUUUGUGUUCUUUUUCUCUUUUCUCUCUACUUCCCGAAUAUUCCUCUCUUCUCCCCUCU